This 627-nucleotide ribosomal RNA is filed under the name Micarea pumila. RNAcentral's name for it is "SSU rRNA". It matches the Rfam family "Bacterial small subunit ribosomal RNA", at positions 378 to 993 of the family's 1533-position model. Lineage: Eukaryota; Fungi; Ascomycota; Lecanoromycetes; Lecanorales; Micareaceae. The record is from RNAcentral.
AAUGCCUAACGGCUGAACCAGCAACUUGGAAGAAUGUAUAGCGAAAGCUAAUUGUUUUAUAUUAAUAAUAUAAAACAGUUUCGAUUUGAUCGAAUAAAAUUCUGGGUAAAUUUAUGAUAAUGACAUUUUUUACCCAUAGUCUUGACAAACUACGUGCCAGCAGUCGCGGUAAUACGUAGGAGACUAGUGUUAUUCAUCUCUAAUAGGUUUAAAGGGUACCUAGACGGCAAAUAAAGCCUUUACUGGAACUUAUUUGCUAGAGUUACUUAUGAAGAAGCUUUAAUGUACUAGAGGUGAAGAGAUGAAAUUCUAUUAUACCUUUUUCUCAACAGAAAAUUUUGGCACAGAUAAAGGUGAAAACAUCUUCUUAUGAGAUAACUGACGUUGAGGGACGAAGGCUUUUUAUAGCGAACAGGAUUAGAUACCCUGGUAGUCAAAGCAGAAAAUGAUGAGUGUCAUAUAUUAGAUAAAAAUUUAUUAUAUAAAUGAAAAUUAAAGCACUCCACCUCAAGAGUAAUUUGGCAACAUUGGAACUGAAAUCAUUAGACCGCAUUUGAGACCAGUAAUGAAGUAUGUUAUUUAAUUUGAUACUACACAAAGAACCUUACCACAACUUGAAUGUUUAUA